Molecule: ribosomal RNA, 433 nt
Filed under: uncultured bacterium
Lineage: Bacteria
Description: partial 16S ribosomal RNA
Rfam family: Bacterial small subunit ribosomal RNA
Source: RNAcentral
AACGAACGCUGGCGGCAUGCCUAACACAUGCAAGUCGAACGAGACCUUCGGGUCUAGUGGCGCACGGGUGCGUAACGCGUGGGAACCUGCCCUUAGGUUCGGAAUAACUCCCCGAAAGGGGUGCUAAUACCGGAUAAUGUCUUCGGACCAAAGAUUUAUCGCCUUUGGAUGGGCCCGCGUUGGAUUAGCUAGUUGGUAGGGUAAAAGCCUACCAAGGCGACGAUCCAUAGCUGGUCUGAGAGGAUGAUCAGCCACACUGGGACUGAGACACGGCCCAGACUCCUACGGGAGGCAGCAGUGGGGGAUAUUGGACAAUGGGCGAAAGCCUGAUCCAGCAAUGCCGCGUGAGUGAUGAUGGCCUUAGGGUUGUAAAGCUCUUUUACCCGGGAUGAUAAUGACAGUACCGGGAGAAUAAGCACCGGCUAACUCCGUG